This 253-nucleotide ribosomal RNA is filed under the name uncultured microorganism. Its description in RNAcentral is "partial 16S ribosomal RNA". It matches the Rfam family "Bacterial small subunit ribosomal RNA", at positions 524 to 776 of the family's 1533-position model. The record is from RNAcentral.
UACGGAGGGGGCAAGCGUUAAUCGGAUUUACUGGGCGUAAAGCGUGCGCAGGCGGCCCGUUAAGACAGGUGUGAAAUCCCUGGGCUCAACCUAGGAAUUGCGCUUGUGACUGGCGGGCUCGAGUACGGUAGAGGGGGGUGGAAUUCCUGGUGUAGCAGUGAAAUGCGUAGAGAUCAGGAGGAACACCGAUGGCGAAGGCAGCCCCCUGGGCCUGUACUGACGCUCAUGCACGAAAGCGUGGGGAGCAAACAGG